RNAcentral lists this ribosomal RNA (253 nucleotides) under uncultured bacterium. RNAcentral's name for it is "partial 16S ribosomal RNA". It matches the Rfam family "Bacterial small subunit ribosomal RNA", at positions 524 to 776 of the family's 1533-position model. The record is from RNAcentral.
UACGGAGGGUGCAAGCGUUACCCGGAUUCACUGGGUUUAAAGGGUGCGUAGGUGGGCAAGUAAGUCAGUGGUGAAAUCUCCGGGCUUAACCCGGAAACUGCCAUUGAUACUAUUUGUCUUGAAUACUGUGGAGGUCAGCGGAAUAUGUCAUGUAGCGGUGAAAUGCUUAGAUAUGACAUAGAACACCAAUUGCGAAGGCAGCUGGCUACACAAAUAUUGACACUGAGGCACGAAAGCGUGGGGAUCAAACAGG